UAGGGAUUCUUCGGUAAUGGGGGCGACCCUUACCGAGCGACGCCGCGUGAGUGAAGAAGGUUUUCGGAUCGUAAAACUCUGUUGUAAGAGAUGAACUUGUGUGAGAGUGGAAAUUUCANACAGUGACGGUAUCUUGCCAGAAAGGGACGGCUAACUACGUGUCAG
RNAcentral lists this ribosomal RNA (165 nucleotides) under uncultured bacterium. RNAcentral's name for it is "partial 16S rRNA". It matches the Rfam family "Bacterial small subunit ribosomal RNA", at positions 355 to 511 of the family's 1533-position model. The record is from RNAcentral.